UCGUACGAAAAAUUUGAAAAAUUUAAGGGAUCAACCGUAUGUUAAAAAAAAUAAUCUCAAGGUGUGACACUCCAAUAAUCCCACAUCAGAUAGUUAUGGCUAGAUGUGGGAGUAUAUAUAAGCUUGAUUGGGUUAGAUAUAAUAACUGAGCUUAAGUAUUUUGGGCCGAUGGUUUGGGCCUAAUGAGUUAGUGUUGCUAGCGGGUCGGGUCGGGUCGUUACAUUUGGUAUCAAAGCCAGUUCACUAAUCGAAAGUGUGAGAUGAGUUUUGGCUGAGCCAGGGUCCGAAUGACAAAUUAAACCAAGGCUGGUGAUUAACAGGCUAAGUCAUUCACAAGUCUAAUAACUGGACUUAAGCAUUUUGGGACCAGCAUAAUAGAUGUUAUAUGCGAGAGUG
Molecule: long non-coding RNA, 396 nt
Filed under: Ananas comosus (pineapple)
Lineage: Eukaryota; Viridiplantae; Streptophyta; Magnoliopsida; Poales; Bromeliaceae
Description: long non-coding RNA (ACOM_LNC025646)
Source: RNAcentral